This 468-nucleotide ribosomal RNA is filed under the name uncultured bacterium. RNAcentral's name for it is "partial 16S ribosomal RNA". It matches the Rfam family "Bacterial small subunit ribosomal RNA", at positions 28 to 507 of the family's 1533-position model. The record is from RNAcentral.
GACGAACGCUGGCGGCGUGCUUAACACAUGCAAGUCGAACGGAAAGGCCCUGCUUUUGUGGGGUGCUCGAGUGGCGAACGGGUGAGUAACACGUGAGUAACCUGCCCUUGACUUUGGGAUAACUUCAGGAAACUGGGGCUAAUACCGGAUAGGAGCUCCUGCUGCAUGGUGGGGGUUGGAAAGUUUCGGCGGUUGGGGAUGGACUCGCGGCUUAUCAGCUUGUUGGUGGGGUAGUGGCUUACCAAGGCUUUGACGGGUAGCCGGCCUGAGAGGGUGACCGGCCACAUUGGGACUGAGAUACGGCCCAGACUCCUACGGGAGGCAGCAGUGGGGAAUAUUGCACGAUGGGCGGAAGCCUGAUGCAGCAACGCCGCGUGCGGGAUGACGGCCUUAGGGUUGUAAACCGCUUUCGCCUGUGACGAAGCGUGAGUGACGGUAAUGGGUAAAGAAGCACCGGCUAACUACGUG